This 123-nucleotide ribosomal RNA is filed under the name Massilia sp. WF1. The record is from RNAcentral. Lineage: Bacteria; Pseudomonadati; Pseudomonadota; Betaproteobacteria; Burkholderiales; Oxalobacteraceae.
CCUGUAUGACCAUAGCAAGUCUAUGCUACCACCCCCUUCCCAUCCCCGAACAGGACCGUGAAACGACCUGCGCCGAUGAUAGCUUGCUGCAACCAGUGUUUGAAAUGUUGGUUAUCGUCAGGC